Long non-coding RNA from Mandrillus leucophaeus (drill), 824 nucleotides. RefSeq lists it as uncharacterized. The record is from RefSeq and is a predicted model, not a curated record. The transcript has 2 exons. Lineage: Eukaryota; Metazoa; Chordata; Mammalia; Primates; Cercopithecidae.
AUAAACAGAGAACUCCCAAAAGGCUGGCUCCAGCCAAGGCCACUGGUGAGACAAGCCUGUGUUAUGCACUUAUAUAAUACACAGGCUUCACCUAGAGAUGGAACCAGCUUGAACUACCAACUGAUAAUGUCUCAAGUAGACAAAAGGUGACCAAAUUAAGGAAAGAAACCAGGAUCCCGGGAGCCUAGGAAGCAGAGCUGGUCAUGACAACAUGCAGUUGAUGAUGUGGGGGUGAAAAGCUGAGUAAGAGAUUGCAAUCUGCAGUGAGCCAAGGCCCGGGCGGAUGUGAAGGCUGGUGGCAAGGAAAUGGGAAGCGGGCAGCCAAGCUAACCCUGUGUCCACUGAGGGAGUGAGGUGGCCUUGAGCACAGCAGUAUCCCUGGGUCUUACAUCAGCAGGAAAUAGAAGGGGAAGAAGCCUAAAGGAAGUGAAAGUGUUGCUGGAUCUCCUGCUGGCAUUGCCUCCUCUUUCACACAGCAUCCUGGUUCUCCCUGCAGCCACCUGAUCUUCCCUUUGUCCUCUACCUCACCACAGUCCCACCCCUUUCACCACUCCAAGUUGAUGCUUCUCCUACAUCUGGCCAAGAUGCUACUCAGAGCUAGAUGAAAGCAAAAGUAAUUGCUCUAAUACAGGUUUUAGGUUUCAGAAACAGAAUUUUCCCGAAUGUUUAAAAUGGUGAAUGGUUCCAUACACUGUGUUAACCAGGCUUCUUAUAAGCUAGUCCCAGAAUCUGCCCACCAUGUGCAAUACUGCUUCUACAAAAAGUGUGCUCCAAGCAAGAACCUUCAAACAUUUAAUCUGAAUGAAUGAAUAUAUCCUCUUCAA